RNAcentral lists this ribosomal RNA (497 nucleotides) under uncultured bacterium. RNAcentral's name for it is "partial 16S ribosomal RNA". It matches the Rfam family "Bacterial small subunit ribosomal RNA", at positions 28 to 507 of the family's 1533-position model. The record is from RNAcentral.
GAUGAACGCUGGCGGCGUGCCUAAUACAUGCAAGUCGAGCGAACGGACGAGAAGCUUGCUUCUCUGAUGUUAGCGGCGGACGGGUGAGUAACACGUGGAUAACCUACCUAUAAGACUGGGAUAACUUCGGGAAACCGGAGCUAAUACCGGAUAAUAUUUUGAACCGCAUGGUUCAAAAGUGAAAGACGGUCUUGCUGUCACUUAUAGAUGGAUCCGCGCCGCAUUAGCUAGUUGGUAAGGUAACUGCUUACCAAGGCAACGAUGCAUAGCCGACCUGAGAGGGUGAUCGGCCACACUGGAACUGAGACACGGUCCAGACUCCUACGGGAGGCAGCAGUAGGGAAUCUUCCGCAAUGGGCGAAAGCCUGACGGAGCAACGCCGCGUGAGUGAUGAAGGUCUUCGGAUCGUAAAACUCUGUUAUUAGGGAAGAACAUAUGUGUAAGUAACUGUGCACAUCUUGACGGUACCUAAUCAGAAAGCCACGGCUAACUACGUG